RNAcentral lists this ribosomal RNA (414 nucleotides) under Calyptraea fastigiata. RNAcentral describes it as "partial 28S ribosomal RNA". The record is from RNAcentral. Lineage: Eukaryota; Metazoa; Mollusca; Gastropoda; Littorinimorpha; Calyptraeidae.
AAACCGCCUAGAGGUAAACGGGUGGAUCCGCAAAGUCGGCCCGCGGAAUUCAGCUCGGAAGGCUGCGCGCCUGUCGGUGGGUCGGGGAUCUUUGUCGACCCUCCCGCCGCAGGACGCGCGUCGGCCGUGUGCACUUUCCGCGGGCAGAGCGCCACGACCGGUUCUCGAGCGGUCAGAAGGUGGCGGGGAUGGUAGGCGGGCGCCUCGGCGCUCGCUGGUAUAGCCCCGCUUGUCCCGAUCCGCUUGGGGACCGAGGAGCCGCCGUCGGUGUAGGCCGCCCCGCCUUCACGGGAUGUUCGACUGGCAGAGACUGGGCAACCGUGUCUGCCGACCGCUUUUCGUGAUGGACGGGGUGGGCCCGCCGGCACAGGGUCGGUGGCGAAUCGGUCGGCCCUCCACCCGACCCGUCUUGAA